This 82-nucleotide small nucleolar RNA is filed under the name Yamadazyma tenuis ATCC 10573. Lineage: Eukaryota; Fungi; Ascomycota; Pichiomycetes; Serinales; Debaryomycetaceae. The record is from RNAcentral.
UUUUCUGAUGAAACCAACAAACAAAGCUGGAAUUACCUGCUGAAUCUCUGUGAUUGAAAACGUUUUGCAUUUAUCUCUGAUC